This 252-nucleotide ribosomal RNA is filed under the name uncultured bacterium. RNAcentral's name for it is "partial 16S ribosomal RNA". It matches the Rfam family "Bacterial small subunit ribosomal RNA", at positions 524 to 776 of the family's 1533-position model. The record is from RNAcentral.
UACAGAGGGGGCAAGCGUUAUUCGGAAUUAUUGGGCGUAAAGAGCGUGUAGGCGGCUUGGUAGGUCUCGCGUCAAAACCUGAGGCUCAACCUCAGUUCGCGUGGGAAACCACCUAGCUAGAGUCCGGAAGAGGAGAACGGAAUUCCCAGUGUAGCGGUGAAAUGCGCAGAUAUUGGGAAGAACACCAGUGGCGAAGGCGGUUCUCUGGGACGGUACUGACGCUGAGACGCGAAAGCGUGGGGAGCGAACAGG